UACGUAGGGUGCAAGCGUUGUCCGGAAUUAUUGGGCGUAAAGAGCGUGUAGGCGGCCAGGUAGGUCUGCUGUGAAAACUCGAGGCUUAACCUCGAGAUGUCGGCGGAAACCAUCUGGCUAGAGUCCGGAAGAGGAGAAUGGAAUUCCCGGUGUAGCGGUGAAAUGCGCAGAUAUCGGGAAGAACACCCGUGGCGAAGGCGGUUCUCUGGGACGGUACUGACGCUGAGGUGCGAAAGCGUGGGGAGCAAACAGG
RNAcentral lists this ribosomal RNA (253 nucleotides) under uncultured bacterium. Its description in RNAcentral is "partial 16S ribosomal RNA". It matches the Rfam family "Bacterial small subunit ribosomal RNA", at positions 524 to 776 of the family's 1533-position model. The record is from RNAcentral.